GUGGAGGAAGACAGAAGGAUGGGAGGUGGAGGAAGACAGAAGGAUGGGGGAUGGAGGAAGACAGAAGGAUGGGGGAAGACAGAAGGAUGGGAGGUGGAGGAAGACAGAAGGAUGGAGGAAGACAGUAGGAUGGGGGAUGGAGGAAGACAGAAGGAUGGAGGAAGACAGAAGGAUGGGGGGUGGAGGAAGACAGUAGGAUGGAGGAAGACAGAAGGACGGAGGAUGGAGGAAGACAGAAGGAUGGAGGAAGACAGAAGGAUGGAGGAAGACAGAAGGAUGGGGGAUGGAGGAAGACAGAGGGAUGGAGGAAGACAGAAGGAUGGAGGAAGACAGAAGGAUGGAGGAAGACAGAAGGAUGGGGGGUGGAGGAAGACAGAAGGAUGGAGG
Long non-coding RNA from Oncorhynchus tshawytscha (Chinook salmon), 387 nucleotides. NCBI's taxonomy places the organism in Eukaryota, Metazoa, Chordata, Actinopteri, Salmoniformes, Salmonidae. The record is from Ensembl.